Molecule: long non-coding RNA, 6755 nt
Organism: Cygnus olor (mute swan)
Lineage: Eukaryota; Metazoa; Chordata; Aves; Anseriformes; Anatidae
Exons: 2
Source: RefSeq, a predicted model, not a curated record
UAUGCUUGCGGUCCGUGGGGCGACUUGCUGAAGCCUUUGGUCACAUUAAGCAACAUUACAUGAUAAUGCUGCAGCACUUUCAGGCUGAGGGAGAAGGAAAACAAAACAGAUGACUCUGGAUGGAAAGGCAUUGCUGUAAACCUGGGAGGGAGAAGAACAUUCCUUUGGAUACUUUUUUUGGCUGGUUGUGUCCUCCCCUCCCCGCCUCCCACCUCUCUCCUCCUCCCCCUCCCCUUGGAGAAUUUGUGACAGCAAGGGUUUUUUUGUUGUUCUAUUAUUUUUUUUAACUAACAUUUCCAUAUUAAAUAGAAAGGAAGAGUGUGAAAGGCCAUGCAGUGGUGGCAGCUAGACAGUGGAAUCUGUAACUGAAGGGUGGAGCGCGAGCACUGGAGAGGUGCCUGUUAUUUAUAGGGUAUGAGUGAACACAAAAAAUGUCUGGCCCCUUUAAGGCCCCUUAAUCCAAACAACCAAUGGAAAGAAAAAAAUGGGAAAAAAGAGAGGAAAUAAAGAAAAUAAAACAAAACGAGGAGAAAAGGCAUCUCUGCAGCAGACUGCGAAGCAUGAAGGAGGACGGGGCGAUGGCGUGGCACAACACGACCCCUAGCCGGACCUGAACCCAGUGUCCUCCGGGAGCCACAGCCUCGGCGAGGAGACCACAGGCAGCCCCAGGCACAGCUGCCUCGAGGGUGGGACAAUGAGGCUGUUUCGAGCAUGAGAUGAGAAGUUCAAGGAAAUUAAGAAGGAGAAGCUGAGCACAUCAGAAGCACGGGCCAGAAAUUCACUCUCUUUGGUCUCCAUUAGAGCAACCAGGGAUCUCUGCAUGCCAAGGUGAGCAUCAGAGCCUGGGAGAUGCGGCCAUUUACUGCCCUCACUCUUGCUUUGGGAUGCAUAAACUGGAAGAUCAUUGCUGAGGCACAAAUGCUCCUUCCCCUUCGCUUAAGGCUGCUGAGGUCUCGGCAGGAGCCCUGUGCCUGGCUGCAGGCAUCUUGCUGCAAAAAAAAUGGGGUGCAAGGAAAGCAUGGUCUGACCAGAGCGGGACAAAUGGCCACGGUCCUGUGCAACCUGCAAAGAGAUACUGAAAGGACUGUGGUUGUUUAGACUAGAGAGAAGGCCGAAGAUAUUAAAAUAGUCUUCAAAUAUGUAAUAAGUUGUACCAAAGAAGAAAAGGGUAAACUGUUCUCCAAGUUCACUGGACAAGAAGAAGUGGGAUUAGUCUGCAGCAAAAGGAAGGACAAAGCUUUCUUGUGGCCCGGUAUUUCAGCACAGACGUGGAUGCUCUGGGAAGGCCUUUGUCAGUGCUGGUGUAAGCAGGGUUACUCUGCUCACUCUGGAAGAUCAUCCCUUCCAGCCCUUUCUAGGACUUUCCUAGGAGUCCUGAUUGAUUUUAGCCCAGCUGAACUGUGUUUUCCCUCUACAAGAUCUCCUUCCUGAAGAGGAAAGAGAGGAACCUCAGUGCAAAGAGGUGCCACACAAAGUCACAGCAUUUCUGUGCUCUAAGCAAAGCUCCUUUUUGCUUUCUUUCCAAAAUAAAUGCAUUAAGUUAUGCCUAUCUCUUCUAAGCAGACAUAAGGGAAUUGUGAAGAGGUCCUGGAAGACACUCAGCACUUAGGUGAUUUAGUGCACAACAAAGUGGGUAAGUCAUCAACUUCAAUGGAUACACACCUGGAACCAGAGAAACUGAAGACAGACAAUUCUUUGGACAGAGAGGGGUUGGUAAAGAGAUUCAAGAACUUGAGUGGAUGACAGUGACACUAAAUCCUCAGGUCUUUUCACAACCCCUGCUCUUAUUCCCUAGGAUCCUGUUGAACCCAUGAGCCUUCACUAAUAGGUUUCAUUCUUCUCUGCCAGUAUCAAAUAACAAAUGUCAGAUCUCAUAUGGGAACCACUAACAACAUAAAAAUAAGAUUUAUACGGAAAGAUGAAGUUCAAAAGAACAGUUACAAAAUGCAGAAAGGUUUUGUUUGUACCCAAUCACACACAAAUAAAAUCAAAAUCAAAACACCGCUGUUCAGGACUGGGCUCACCAUCACCCAUGACCUUCUCCCACCAUCACUGCAAUUUUGAAUGCUGGACACCGGCUACAAAUUAAUUUGCUGAAACUGAGGAAAAUGCUUCCCUGAUGUGUAAACAAGAAAAGGCUAAACAUGCAUUAGCUAAUCCCAGACUUCAGCUGAUCGCUCUUGGUUCAAACUCUAUGCUAAUACUCCCUCUAGCUUUCCUUUCUCCAAAGAGAAGGGCUCCAAAGCUGUAGAUCUGCUCCUCACCUUUCAACCUUGUGAGAAGGACAACAGCGUUACAAUGGCAAAAUCCUCGAGUGCCAGCUGGUGAUGCUGGUUUAGUUGAGUGCCAGCUGGUGAUGAUGCUGGUUUAGUUUUUCCGGUGACCACAGAGAAGCCGAAGGCAUCUCAGAUGUGGAAAAAUGGAUGCACGGAGAGGUAACAAGACUUGACUGCAGAAGGGAGAGGCAGAUCCUCAAGAGGCAUAAAUCAUUCCAGCUCUUCUGAUGUCAGCACCCCAGGGAGGUCGGGCCAGCGUCGAGAGGAGCAGCAAGGAAGAGGAGGGCUGAGCCUCUUCCUGCUUGUCACUACGCGAGUCCAGGAAAGUCGGACCCCGGCUCUCCUCCUGCUCUGGACUUCUGCCACCAUCUCAUCCUGCUCGGAGAAUCUGUCAGCACACCUCAACCCUCGAAAACUGGGGCUCAAGCCAAGGCCCUCAAAAGGGAGCAAAGGAAGGAUGGGAGACGGAGUCCAAAAGUGUCUUUCCGCUCUAAAGGUGAGCCCUUUGGAACAAACUGGAGUCACAUUGGCUCUGCCUGGGGACAGCCUGCCAGUGGCUGUUUGAUAUGUGGAGUGAACGAAAAUGCUACCCCCACGCGAUGAUGUUCCAGCACCUUUCAGCACCAACUUGCCUUUUCCUUUAUCUUUUUUUGUUUUAAAUACAGACUCUCGGGAAAGCAACUUAACAGACCAAGCUGCAAAGCAGAGACAGAAUAGAAUUGUCUUUUUUUUGGCUUCCAAUACAAGAAUGCAAAGCAUUGUCUCUCUGGGAGGAGAAUUAAGUAUGGGCAAGUGUUUUGGCAAGAGAGCCACGGAGGAGAAUGGAAGGCGAGGAUGAGGCGGGGGAAGAGGAGGGGAGGGAGAGCUGGGGGUCAGAUGGAUGGUUUGGUCUUUUAUAAAUCUUGGAUGGAGAAGAGGCACACAGAUGGCUUUGUGUUUUAAAAUUAUUCUAAUAAAUCAACUCCAUAAUCAUAAUCAAAAUGCCCUUGUCUCUCUCUUCCCCCUCUUCCAUGUAUCACAGCUGAGCAACAAGGCUGGAGUGUGUGUCUGGAGAGGGAAUGGCAAGCGCUCAGGACAAAAACAGACCGUGGCGAGAGAGCGAGGGGAAGCGUGCGAGGCAAGCGUGCAAAUGUGCGUGCAUGCGUGACCACAGCGGGGUGCGGGAGCCACCACAAGCACCUUGUGACAGCAGCCUGAGAGCGAACAAACAACAUGAGCAGGGAGGGAAGGAGCACGGGGGGCUCUACAGCACGCGGCAGGCGAGCUGCUUUCGGUGCGAGGGCGGGCACGUCCUGCAGGAGGGGACCAUUUCAAGGCAGGAACGUGCAAACGCGUGCAGGAAGAAGGUCCGAGCGUGAGAGCGAGCCUGCAACUAUCUGCAAAGAGAGGAGCUAUCCCGAUGGCGGGGGAAGGAGUGGGAAAAGGCAAGGUCUCAUCUCUCCCAGGCGGGAGUGGACGUGCUGGGGAGGAAUGCUGCGUCCCCGUUCCAGUGCUCGCUCUUGGCUGCGAGGAAGGUGCAGCCUCUCCUCCUCCAGCAGGAGCCACCGGGCCUGGUCCGCGGGGGGAGCAGAGGCUCCUGCUGUCCGGGUUUUCCAUUCGGAGCUCCACGUGGCACAAAAUCCCAUCGGUUUCCCUGCCAGAGGGAGCCAGGUGGAGAGAACAAUAAAAAGCAGAAGGCGCGGGGUGGGGCGGGAUGGUCCAGAGCGGAUGCAGAGGAUGGAAUUAAUCAGCUGUCCGGGAGGAAUAUUAGAGCUCUUCGGCUUGUCGUCAACGCCUUCUCCUCCUUCCCAAAGACAGACACAAUGAGAGACCAAGGAACAUUUCCUAUUGUUACAGGGGAUUUGUCCACAAGGUCCAGCCCCAUGUGGAAGUCAUUACCGGCUGGGAGUGGCAUCUCGAGGGAGACUGUCACCAUAGCAGCCCAGCUCCCAGUCCAGGGAUCGCUGUGGGCUGAGGUACGAAGUGUUUUGCUUAAUAUCACCCCUUUGACUGAGCCAAAGUCCUGAGCACUCCUACGAGAAGCCAUCAAGGGUAGCUCCGCGCCAACAGGAACGGAUCAUGAAUUUCACUGCUGCUACCGAAUGGGGAAGGGAGGGACAGUUACGUCAAGGUUUUCUUUUCCCUGCCUCCAACCCUCCCUAGAUAGAAAACCGAAGAGUGGCUACAGCAACAGCUGUACAAAGCACGAGGUGAAGAGCUGACCACUGCCCACCUGCACGUCCUCCCGCUCCAGCAGAACUUGGCCUUCAAGAUCAUCCGUGGAAGAACGUAAUUAUCCGUGGGUGAGAGCCCAGGACUGAGUGAUCAGAGAGAAUCAACACCUCCGAGCUCCCGCAGGGAAGCAGAUCCUUUUAGACACGUUACAUCUAAGCCCAGUCGUUUCACGCUAAAUCAUACUUAAGUCAGCAGCAUCUCCAGAAGUGGUGACGUCAACGCCCUCAGGACAGCUGGCCUCGUGCACGGAGGAAAGGGGCACCUCGGAAAUCAAUGGGAAAUCAACAUCUAGGUAAAACACAGCCUCCUGUAUGACAAAGCCGCCCUCCCUAGGCCUCCCAAACCCACUCCUGACUUCCCCAGCCGUGAAGGAGCUGGGGAGAUAGAAGCAAAAUCAGCCGUGGGGGCUGGGGGUUGAAGUAAUCAGAUUAAGCCUGGUUUGGCCAUUUGGUCUGACAGGAACUGCAUAAUGCAUCCAAGGAGAACUGAGGGGCCAGGGGAACAAGUGAUAGGCAACAGGCAGCUGGCCUACCUGCUAAAUGCCACCCACCACUGCUGUCACCUUUAGCACAGAAAUAUUUCUGCCAGAGAUCUCAAACCACAUCGAACAAGCAACUUCUAGGCUCCCAAAAAGCAGAGGUGCCACUUCCACCUGGAUGUUAUUUGGAACACGUGUACAACUCCUUUAAAUGCUUGCCUCUCUCGAAUCAGCCUCUCCAAAACCACUCAACGUAUAAAUACACAAAUGAGGAGCAAUAACAACACUGAAAGGUGUCUUAUCGAUACCCUAACCAGUUGCCUUCCACCUAGCAAGUUUUCUCUUUCACACAGCUGGCUUUUGUUAGGUUUCCAUGAGGGUAGUGACAGAGGUGACCUGUGGGCUGUGUCAGGGUGUCCAUCUCCAGGAGAUGCCUUACCCCAAACCCAGCUUCAUGCAACCACCUUCAGAAAACUGCAGUAUCUAAGGGGCAAGGCUUUGAGAGGAAAAGGAGGGCAGGCACAUAGUCAAGGGGACUUCUGACAACACGGUGGGGCAGGCAGCAGCUUCUGGGUUUUUCAGAAGCUCCAUGAGCAUCAAGCACAACUACCAUGCUUGAAGAAGAGCGCACACGGCUGGUCUCAGACCACAAGUCCCCGAACAGCGCUGGGGGAGCAGAAGACCAUCACCACAGGGGCUGAUCAGGAGAAACAAGGACUCUCUGCCACCCCGGUGCAUUAUACGACAGCAGCCUCCCAAAAGCCUUUUUUUUUUUUUUUUUUUUGCAACGGUGAUUAAGCAGAUUUCUCCAGCCUCCUGUCCUUGCUGCAGGGCCCAACCCACAACACACCAUUUCUUGCCUGUGUCAAGCUCAGUGCACAAAGAAGCCCUCACAAAAAUCGAGUCCAAGCACAGUGGUAUGAUGCUGUGCUCUGUUUUCUUAAAAAUAAAUAAAAAUACUUGUUAUUCUUCCAUGGAAAAUGAACAUGGGGAAGAUCAGCAUGGUCAGCUCAUUUAUCUCCAAGAAAUUUCUUCUUAAUUGAGCAGGGUGUCCCUCCCCACAGGACAGCUCUCAGCUGGGUAUUUUUACAAGUAUGAACAUUGCAGCUUUUUCUUGUAAAUGGUGUGAAUGUUCUCCUCUAUUUAUGUCCUACAAAACCUCAUUUUUACCAACAUUUAUGCAUCAUAACACAUAACCCUGAUCCUGCAAAAUCUCUACAUGGGCACAGAUUUGUGUAUGCCUGAGAUCUCCCUGGCUUCAAUGAGCUAUUCAUCUGCAGCUUGCUGAAGAGGCUGAAACUGUACUUAUGUUUUAUGUACGUAGAAAAAUUAUUACAUAGCAAUAGGGUUCAAACAGGAGCCCCCAGAUUCAUCAGAUGUCUGACUCGCUUGGUACACACAAUAUAAAAUGGAAACAGGGGAUGGGAAACAUAAUAAGAUGUAAUAAAAAUGUCCUUAAAUGUUUCAGGUUAUUGAAAAAAUCUCUCUUUGUAAGCUCUCUAACUUUUGAAAUCAUGAACAUGCAUUCUUACAAAGUUAGACUUAAAAGUAGCUUAUAUUUAAUUUAAAAUUGCAUUGUUCCAAUUAUACCUACAAAAUACACACAACACAUACAUGUAUAAAAUGUAUUAUUACACUGUAAAAUGUAUAUUUAUAUUAUUUAAAUUAAAUCUAAAAUUAAAGUCAUACUGAAACUAAAUGUACUUGUUUGCCAUAUGUCUUGAUAGGACAGGCUAUGCUCAUUCUGUAAGACCAAAGAAUAUAAAAAUAAAGGCUAAGUAUUGAAC